This 706-nucleotide ribosomal RNA is filed under the name Hemicriconemoides pseudobrachyurus. RNAcentral describes it as "partial large subunit ribosomal RNA". The record is from RNAcentral. Lineage: Eukaryota; Metazoa; Nematoda; Chromadorea; Rhabditida; Criconematidae.
AAAAGCACUUUGAAGAGAGAGUUAAAGAGGACGUGAAACCGGUAGGAUGGAAACGGAUAGAGCUAGCGAAGUCGCUCGUAUUCAGCCAAAGGCCCGUGGUCGCCGGCUGCUGUGUUGCUAAUCGUGCGCAGUGGUCGUCCGGCUAUGGGCUGAGGUGCAUUUGCGGGCGUUUGCACUGAGACUUGUGGGGCAGCUGCAGGACCCGCGUUCUAGAGGCCUCCCUCUGGGUGGAACCUGGUCGCGGUGAGAGCUGUUUGCCUUGCUCGUAGAAGAUGGUACGGCCUACGGACCUUGUCUGUGCCGUCGUCUCCUUGCCGUGGUAUYGCAUGCGAUGCCUAGCUUGAGGGCGGCGGUGCGGGCCGGUGUCCUCGUGCCUGCUCUCGGUGUAGAAGCUGGUCAUCUCUCCGACCCGUCUUGAAACACGGACCAAGGAGUUUAGCGUAUGCGCGAGUCAUUGGGUGUGGAAAACCCAUAGGCGCAAUGAAAGUGAAGGCUCGGUCGCCGGGCUGACAUGCGAGUGCUGUGGCUUCGGCCGCGGCAUGCAGCAUGGUCCCGUUCCGGUCGCUUGCGACGGAGCGGAGACAGAGCGUAUGCGCUGAGACCCGAAAGAUGGUGAACUAUUCCUGAGCAGGACGAAGCCAGAGGAAACUCUGGUGGAAGUCCGAAGCGAUUCUGACGUGCAAAUCGAUCGUCUGACUUGGGUAUA